AUGGCUGCCAGUCCACGAUGUCUAUUUGCCAUCUGGCGGCCAGCGUUAGGAAGUGCAGGUCGACACCUGCUCCUCUGGGACUCUGGCUUUGCCCUCCAUCAAAUCGCGCUCUUCCAGGUAGCAAUAAGAAGGUGGGGAGGAGUCAUCAGACUUUCAGCGGGAUCACCCAGAAGCCACCACUGGCAGAGACGCCAGCACCAACCGUAUGGGGCCAUGCAGGGGCGCCUUCAGACGCUCCAUCCCAGCUCUUGGCAAGGAGAGGUGGAGAAGGGAACGGGCCGGCUCGGCCCUCCUUCAAGGGGUUCAGAAAUACUUUGGGGGCAAAUCGAUGGUCCCACCAGCCCCCAGCCUCCAGGGAGCGGGGUCCCGGCCAAAGGGCCCCUUUCUGGGUUCCCAGGCUCAGAGCGAGCUGCUGGGGCUCCCAUAGAAUUUCUCCUGGGCAGCCAUCAUGGGCUCAGACGGGGCCAUCUUUUGGAUCUCUUCCAGCGUGGCCCUCCUAGGGGCCAAGAUCGGCUCAGACAUUUACGCUCUACGGAUGUUCUAGCUUUAUAUCCCAAGACAAUGCCUUCCACCAUGUUCUGGGCCCCAAAUUCCCUUCCAGCUCUGAUAACGUCGUCUCAAUCUGAGAAUCCACAGUCUAAGGUCUUUCCAGGCCUGACCAUCUAUGCUCCCAUGUUCCUUCCAGCUCCAACAUUCUACUUAACAAAGCAACAACACUUAGAACUGAUACCGUGCCUUGGUUCCGAGGCAGAGGAGCAGAAGGGCUGGGCCAUGGGGGUGAAGGGACUUGCCCAGGGUCACACAGCUAGGAAGUGUCUGAGGUCAGAUUUGAACCCCGGACCUGCUGCCUCUAGUCCUGGCUCUCAAGGCACAGGGCCACCCAGCUGUCAGCAUUCUACCUCGUUCCAACAUUCAGUCUUCUAAGGGCCUCCCAGCUCUAACAUGCUGUGUUGGCAACUCGACUCCAGCUCGGAAAGCCUCCAUUCUCAGGUUGCUUCCAGCAUGACUCCUCUUCCCUUCUAGCUGACGUUCUAGGUUCCAGUUCUAGAUUCCACCAUCCCUUCGGGCUUUGAGAAUGGGUGUCCAAACGCCCGAGGGCUCAUCCAGGUCUCCUGGGCUCCAGCUGGAGCCGGACCUUUCCUGUCCUGGCUCAAAGCUGACACCCAAUUCGGCCCAAUGGGAGGGGGCGACAUGGGGGAGGCCCCUGGGGAAGGCAUGGAAGGGAGCGAUGAGGGGCUGAAAGAACAGAGGAGGACCUAGAGGGCAGGAGAGGUCCGGAGCCCGGCAGGGGCGAGCGCGUUUUCCCAGUGAGAAUGAAGGCGAUGAGAUUUUGGAAGGCGGCGGGGGGGGGGGGGGGCAAUUUGGGACCCCUUGGACAACCAAAAAAGGGGGGGCAGGGCCCCGUUUAAAGCUCCCGGGAUGGAACCAGGCCUUCUCCCGCACUUUUUUUCCCUUUUAAAGGCAGUGGCUGGGACCCCCCCACUUAUGUAUUUACUUUUUGAUUUUCCCAACCUUAUUUGCCCUCUUGGAAUUAAAACUGUGUUUUGGUUCCCAGGCAAAAAAAUGGAAAAGGCUAAACAAUUUAAGUCAAAUGACUUUCCCCGGGGCCCUCCCCUAGGA
This is a long non-coding RNA of Monodelphis domestica (gray short-tailed opossum), 1620 nucleotides long. NCBI's taxonomy places the organism in Eukaryota, Metazoa, Chordata, Mammalia, Didelphimorphia, Didelphidae. The record is from Ensembl.